This 5401-nucleotide long non-coding RNA is filed under the name Equus caballus (horse). RNAcentral describes it as "lncRNA (ENSECAG00000055008.1)". Lineage: Eukaryota; Metazoa; Chordata; Mammalia; Perissodactyla; Equidae. The record is from RNAcentral.
CAGCAGCAUUUGGGAGCUUAGUAGAAAGGCAUAAUGUCAGGCACUAACUCAGAUAUGCUGAAUCAGAAUCUGAAGUUUGAGGAGAUGCCUAGGUGAUUUGAAUGCAUGUUAAGUUUGAGAAGCAGUGGUCAAGACUUGACUGAGUCAAGUUUUAAACUAGACAUGUUAGAAAGUAGAGUGUGUUAUAGCCAUCUAUCAUCAUCUCCUUCGUCCUGGUAGCCACUUUAGUUCAAAGAGACCCUGCCCUUUCUAGCUAUAAUUGAUCAGGGAGCACCUGACACCAGCUUAACCAAUCAGCAUUCCUUUACCAGGUAUUUGAAAAUGGCAAGGAAAGAGUGAUUCAGUCUUUCUAUUGGUUGGACCACUGAAUGAGUAAACUCAAGUAAGUUACAGUGGCCAUAUUCUGGAAAGCAGAAAAAACUGGAAAGCAAAGAGAGAGAACAAUGACGCAGAUAUAUGGAGAAAAGCAGAAAUGAAGAGAAAAUGCUGCUUCAAUCCCUGAUCACCUUCCUGUUCUCUAUCAUUGUCCCCUGUAUCUCUAUAUUACACUCCCACAUGGUGUAAGCUAAUAUGAUUUGGUUAUUGUUGGGAACCAGAGUUCUACUCAAUAAAGCGGAUGCGGGUGAAUUUAGAAGGCUGAGAACAAAGAGAAAAGGGUGGUCUUGCUUCAUAAGUGUGUAUGUUGGUGGAGGUUGUUGAGAGAUUUGAAGACCAGGAGCAGGAGAUGGCCCACAGCAUGGGGGGUAGCUCUGUGUGGAGAGAGGACCCGAGGGGUCUUCCAGAGCUCACUGCCCACACCAGACACAUGACAAGCAUUUACCGAUCCUUCACAUUGUCUCAUUUGAUCCCUGCCACAAUUCAGCAAGGGAGCUGGUGCUAGCCCCAUUUACAGAGGAGGAAAGCAAACUUCAGAAAGGUUAAGUAACUUGCUCACGGCUGCCAGGAAGUGCAAGGCGGUCAUGAACUGGACCCAGCUGUGACAGACUCCAAAGGCCUCCGUCUUAACUACUUAAGCACCUAACCUCUAUUAAAGGCGCUCCAUGCAGGUUACCUAGCAUAUCCGUGGAACUUUUGAAAAAUACAACGCUCCUCCCCUCCCAGAGAUUCUGCGUGGGGCCCUGGUAGAGUAUGUUGCAAAAGCAUCACCAGCUUGGAUUUGCUUUUGGCAACGUGGUUGGAAUGUAUCUGGCUCAGAACUACGACAUACCAAACCUGGCUAAAAAACUUGAAGAUAUUAAAAAGGACUUGGAUGCCAAGAAGAAACCUCCUAGUUCAUGAGGCCGACUCCAGUACUGCCUUCUGGAUGUACUGAUUCUGCUGCUCUUGAGGGCCUCCUUUGCUAUCUCAACCAAAAGCUUUUGUUUUCAUCUCCAGCCUCAGCGAGUUUCUUCUUUGCUGGACCCUGUGUUGCCUUAGAGCACAAGUGGAGCCGCAGUUAAGAACUACCCUACUUUUCCAGCAUCCUCACCUCUGCCCUUCCUCCUUCCAGCCUCUUGGGAGGUCCUAAGACUGGAAUUAUGGUGCUAGAUUAGUAAACAUGACCUUUAAUUAGUCUCCCCUUAUUCUUUGGAUCUCUGCUACCUGUUUUCAAAAGAGAAAUUGAUGAGUUUUAUAUAGCUGAUUAGAUAUAAAUGAUGCUGAUUUCACAGUUUAGCAAGUAUAAUGGGUGUUUAAACUUUUGGUACUAAAUUAUGUUGUUUCAAAGUAAUUAAAAUUAAAAUCUAGAAGCCAGUUUCUAGUGAAUUAUCUAUUUUUUUAUACUGUUGUCAGGCAGCUCCAUAGUUGCUAAUUUAACCAGUAAAUCGUUUUGCUAUGCAUUAACCGAGAAACUAUAUUCUGAGAACCCUGUCAGGAACUGGGGAAUUUAAAUAUACAUAAAAUGAUGGCUUUUGUCCUCAGAAGUCAUAGUCUAGUAUGCAUGUUUUUCCAUAAUGAUGCAUUUCAUCUGGCUCUCUUCCCUCAAAAGAAUCAUACUUGUUUUAAGGGAUUACAGGUGCAUUUGAUAUUACAUGGUGGAUACAUGAGAAGUUGUCUAUAAAGGAAAUGUUAUGCCUUUUCACAUUUAAAGAAAUGUAUGUACAUUAUAACUUUAGAGUGAUUCUUAUAAGAAAACUUUCUUUUUUGUUUUUUUCUGCAGUCAGAAAUUACCCUUGUAUUUGUCAAACAUAGAAUCAGUCCAUAUUUUUUUAAUUGGAAAAAAAGGUUUAAAUUAACUUUUUCCUCCAGGUCAAGAUACAAAAGUGUUUUAAGGGCCCUCCCCCUCCCCGUCCUCCAGUGCUGUCCCCAGUUUCCUGUAUACUCUGAGAAAGAUUCUGUGCCUAAACAAACACACGUUGCAUGGGGGUUUAUACAGAUAACAAGCUAUAUACAAUGUUUGCCCUUUGCCUUUUUUUAAAAUGGAGAUCAUUCCAUAUCAGUAUGUAAGGAACAAAGAACCUCUUUCCUUUUUUGGCUACAUAAGGUUCUAUUGAAUGGAUAUACCAUAAUUAAUUUACUUUGCUCCUAAUGAACAUUUAGGUUAUUUCCUUUCUUUUGCUUUUACAGUGAUAACCUUGAACAUAAUGUUAUUAUGCAUAUCUGGGCGGGGUAUAGCUAUAAGCUAAAGUCCUAAAAGUGUAAUUUCCACUAAAUAUAGAUAAAGUCCCACUUCAGUGGGUGUUUUGUUUCAGAAGGCUUUUUGGGCAGCUUCACUGGUAAUGCCAUUUCUGAAGACACUUUAGCAGAAACAGUAACCUGGAAGAAUUAGUUAGAGACACCUUUUUUCAGACAGUGAUGACACUAAUGCUAUAUGUGAUUAUAAAAUAAAGUGAUUCUGCGUCUCUUUGAAAACAUGGAUCUCUCAUAUAUGGAGAUAACUUUUAUCCCUAUCAGGGCAUCCUGGGUGUGAGAUAGAUUAAGAUCAUAGUAUGGUUUGGCUUCUCUCUAGCAGUGUGAUCAUAGAAAAGCAGCUUAUUUUUCUGAAACUGUUGUAUUCUCUGUAAGAUGUGGAUGCAAUACCUACCUCAUAGGGCUUCCAUGAGACACAGUUAAGAUAAUGUAUGUGAUGUGUUGCACAGUGCUUUGCAAAUUGUCCAAUAAAUAGUAGAUAUUAGUCCAAUCAUGCUGCUUUUGGUCAGAAUACUUUUGUUUUUCUGCAGUUACUUUUGGAACCAGGGUAUGAACCAUGCAAAAUUUGUCAUCAUUCUGUGGUCUCUCUCUUGGUUGUUGAAAAUCUAUAGUAUCCACCUUGAUCAUACUACCUGGCUCACAAGGUUUGAUCAUGCAUGACUGAAUUGUUAUGAGAAUGAACUACAGCAUUAAAGGAUAAGGCUUACCAUCCUUGAGGGUGUUCAAAAUGCCCCAGGCUUAGACAUCUGUUUCCACAGAGGGAUUCCUUGUUAUCAGCCAUGGUAGGAUUGUUAUUUGUGUAUGUGAUCUCCCAGAGUGGUUGCUUUAGGGAUGAAGUUCACUUGGAUGUUAUAAGAUUACGUCUCUAUGUAUUAUAUCUUGUAAACAAAGCUCAUUUGAAUUUAGGGCUUCCCUCAAGGGUGACACUCAACCUUGCUGAUAGGAUCAUUUCUACCAGCGGGAGCCAUCCAGCAAAUCAGUCUUUGCAUUCACCUUCACCGUGUAAACUGCUACACAGUGAAUACAGGCUGACUUAGUGGUCACCAUUCAGAUACCCUCUCAUAGUUUUAGGUUCUUGCAGCAGUGACAGGGAGCUCAGAGUUCUCAGGCAAGGUUAUCUUCACUGAGAUAAAUGUUGGAGGAACCCAGAACAUCGUAGAUUGUAGGGUGUAGUUUCAAGUUCGUAAUGCGGAUAGGGGUUGUGAUCAUUAUCCUGACACUGAAAGUUCCCUGGGGGCUUUGUAAGGACACUUAACCUCACAAAUCAGUUGAGGGAUGGGAAGAACCACUGCAAGACAUGUGGUUUUUUUUUCCUUUAAAAAAUGUUUGAAAACUCCUAUUGAUAUGAUUUAAGAACUUUUUUGCACCCCUGGCUGUAAAAGGAGGAUUACAUAAAAUACUACUGAAGGUUACUCGCGUGUGAAAAAUAAGACUUCAGUUGAUGUAGGGAACUUAAUAAAGGAACUUGAAAGCUUAUCUUUAAACUCUCCCCCUCCCAAACAAAAAAACAAAGGGAGAGAAAACCCAAAACAAGCUUAAAAUCGCCAAAUGGGGCUGUAUUUUAUGAGUUGAAGUUACCAGUUGAUGUCUUUUGACUUCUAAUUUGGUGUUUUAUGCAAUUAAGCAGUUACUUGCUUCUGAUUUAGAGGAACAAUUUUAUUUCCUUUUUUCUAACUCAUUUAUUCAAUUUUCAUUUGUGUGACUUUAGAGAAGGUUAAGAUGUGUGAUUUAUCCUGUUGUCUAUACUUAGGGGUUCAUAGAGCAUAUGUCCACAUGCCCCAUGUUUUCAUUUCCACUAAGCAGUUUACUCCCUAGAUACUAUGCUGGUGUUUGUUUUUCUGCUGAAGUUUCCCACAUUUUUAAUGCUUUUUCUGUUAUUUCUCCUGAAGGAACACUGUAUACUGUACUGUAGUAAAUGGGGCUAUUCUGAAACUUCUCAUCUUGGACUUUGCACGUAGUAUUUCCAUUCCUUAUGCAGAUGAAUGAGUUCUUUUUUCCCUACUGACCAUUAGGGCCUUGCCUUGUGGAAAGGAACAAGGUGGUGAAGGGAAAGUAUUUUUGAGACCUUGCCUGGUCUCAUUAGGGAGUUUGUGACAGACACUUAGAUUUUCAAAUGUUCAGUUUAUACCUUUCCUAAAUCUAGAUGCAGCUUAUUUAGUCAAGUACUGAAGAUCUAAUGGAUGGCAUGUUUUACAAGGCACUGGGAAAGAAACAAGACCAGAACAGUGAGGUUUUGUGGGAGGUACUCAGGGCAGGGCGUUGCAAAACCUGAGUCCUAAGCCUGCUCGAAUCGUUGUCUGUGCGGUAAGACCUUAUGAAAGGUGCAGUGUGGUUGCAUCAUUCUUACAUGUACAGUUGUCCAGGAUUGGGACAAGAAAAGGGGCCAUGUAAAUAGUGUGGGCCAUUGUGCUCAGCAUGGAUUCAGUGAGGGCAGCCCCAGAACGAGCCACCUGUGCUCACGGGUGGUCUCUGUUCCCUUUGUGUACUCAUGGUUCCUGCAAUCUUGUUAUACUGAGAAUGAUUCUAGUGUUUAAACCUUUUCAAACAUGAUCCCUAAAUGUGAAGCCAACUAGUUUAUUUGGUGUUCAGCUGAAGAAAGAGGGAUCUAUUCUGACAUUGAAGAGAAAACUAGCUAUUUUUUGUUUAUUAAAAGAUGGCACAUGAGUCUUUGGGCCACGUAAAUGCUAAUAUGAAAGAUUGUAUACCGGGUACUUCAUGAGUGACUUAAGGGAAUUUCAGAGGCAGCUUUGACUAAGCAAAUUUGAUUUAUAAUUGACUUGAGAAUAAGAUGCAA